RNAcentral lists this ribosomal RNA (497 nucleotides) under uncultured bacterium. RNAcentral describes it as "partial 16S ribosomal RNA". It matches the Rfam family "Bacterial small subunit ribosomal RNA", at positions 28 to 507 of the family's 1533-position model. The record is from RNAcentral.
GAUGAACGCUGGCGGCGUGCCUAAUACAUGCAAGUCGAGCGAACAGAUGAGGAGCUUGCUCCUCUGACGUUAGCGGCGGACGGGUGUGUAACACGUGGAUAACCUACCUAUAAGACUGGGAUAACUUCGGGAAACCGGAGCUAAUACCGGAUAAUAUAUUGAACCGCAUGGUUCAAUAGUGAAAGACGGUUUUGCUGUCACUUAUAGAUGGAUCCGCGCCGCAUUAGCUAGUUGGUAAGGUAACGGCUUACCAAGGCAACGAUGCGUAGCCGACCUGAGAGGGUGAUCGGCCACACUGGAACUGAGACACGGUCCAGACUCCUACGGGAGGCAGCAGUAGGGAAUCUUCCGCAAUGGGCGAAAGCCUGACGGAGCAACGCCGCGUGAGUGAUGAAGGUCUUCGGAUCGUAAAACUCUGUUAUUAGGGAAGAACAAAUGUGUAAGUAACUAUGCACGUCUUGACGGUACCUAAUCAGAAAGCCACGGCUAACUACGUG